UUCUACAAUAAGGCCACCAUACACGAUAUUAGAGACACAAUCAAGGCAGGAUGCAGCUAUGGCCCUGAAAGAGGUGAUUUCAAUGUGGCUGGGCACAUUCAAGCUGAAGAAAACAGAGCAGACAAGACUCAAAUCCAGAUUCUCUUUGGAGUUGGCUUGGCGAUCGUAGGGCAUGCAUUACUGUUUCAUUAUUUAUGAAAAUGUAUCAACUAUUUGUUUAAUGCAUGGAAGAAUAACAUUUUCUUCCGCCUGUUUUAUGUAGCUUUAAUGGAGGA
Molecule: unclassified non-coding RNA, 275 nt
Filed under: Hevea brasiliensis (rubber tree)
Lineage: Eukaryota; Viridiplantae; Streptophyta; Magnoliopsida; Malpighiales; Euphorbiaceae
Source: RNAcentral